GAUGAACGCUGGCGGUAUGCUUAACACAUGCAAGUCGAACGGACUCUUCGGAGUUAGUGGCGGACGGGUGAGUAACGCGUGAGAAUCUGGCUUUGGGUUCGGGACAACCACUGGAAACGGUGGCUAAUACCGGAUGUGCCGAGAGGUAAAAGAGAAAUUGCCUGAAGAUGAGCUCGCGUCUGAUUAGCUAGUUGGUGAGGUAAAGGCUCACCAAGGCAGCGAUCAGUAGCUGGUCUGAGAGGAUGACCAGCCACACUGGGACUGAGACACGGCCCAGACUCCUACGGGAGGAAGCAGUGGGGAAUUGUCCGCAAUGGGCGAAAGCCUGACGGAGCAAUACCGCGUGAGGGAAGAAGGCUCUUGGGGUGUAAACCUCUUUUCUUAGGGAAGAACAAAAUGACGGUACCUAAGGAAUCAGCAUCGGCUAACUCCGUG
RNAcentral lists this ribosomal RNA (435 nucleotides) under uncultured bacterium. RNAcentral's name for it is "partial 16S ribosomal RNA". It matches the Rfam family "Bacterial small subunit ribosomal RNA", at positions 28 to 507 of the family's 1533-position model. The record is from RNAcentral.